UACAGAGGGUGCAAGCGUUAAUCGGAAUUACUGGGCGUAAAGCGUGCGUAGACGGUUACAUAAGUCGGGUGUGAAAGCCCCGGGCUCAACCUGGGAAUUGCAUUCGAGACUGCGUAGCUAGGGUGCGGAAGAGGGAAGCGGAAUUUCCGGUGUAGCGGUGAAAUGCGUAGAUAUCGGAAGGAACACCAGUGGCGAAAGCGGCUUCCUGGUCCAGCACCGACGUUCAGGCACGAAAGCGUGGGGGAGCAAACAGGGA
Molecule: ribosomal RNA, 256 nt
Filed under: uncultured bacterium
Lineage: Bacteria
Description: partial 16S ribosomal RNA
Rfam family: Bacterial small subunit ribosomal RNA
Source: RNAcentral